AUUGAACGCUGGCGGCAGGCCUAACUCAUGCAAGUCGAGCGGAGCGGCGGACGGGUGAGUAAUGCCUAGGAAUCUGCCUGGUAGUGGGGGAUAACGUCCGGAAACGGGCGCUAAUACCGCAUACUAUCAGAUGAGCCUAGGUCGGAUUAGCUAGUUGGUGGGGUAAAGGCCUACCAAGGCGACGAUCCGUAACUGGUCUGAGAGGAUGAGCCGACACACUGGAACUGCGACACGGUCCAGACUCCUACGGGAAGCAGCAGUGGAGAAUAUUAGACAAUGGGCGAAAGCCAGAUCCAGCCAUGCCGCGUGUGUGAAGAAGGUCUUCGGAUUGUAAAGCACUUUAAGUUGGGAGGCGUUACCAACAGAAUAAGCACCGGCUAACUUCGUGCAAGCCGCCGCGGGAAUUC
Molecule: ribosomal RNA, 407 nt
Filed under: uncultured bacterium
Lineage: Bacteria
Description: partial 16S ribosomal RNA
Rfam family: Bacterial small subunit ribosomal RNA
Source: RNAcentral